This 468-nucleotide ribosomal RNA is filed under the name uncultured bacterium. Its description in RNAcentral is "partial 16S ribosomal RNA". It matches the Rfam family "Bacterial small subunit ribosomal RNA", at positions 28 to 507 of the family's 1533-position model. The record is from RNAcentral.
GACGAACGCUGGCGGCGUGCUUAACACAUGCAAGUCGAACGGAAAGGCCCUGCUUUUGUGGGGUGCUCGAGUGGCGAACGGGUGAGUAACACGUGAGUAACCUGCCCUUGACUGUGGGAUAACUUCAGGAAACUGGGGCUAAUACCGGAUAGGAGCUCCUGCUGCAUGGUGGGGGUUGGAAAGUUUCGGCGGUUGGGGAUGGACUCGCGGCUUAUCAGCUUGUUGGUGGGGUAGUGGCUUACCAAGGCUUUGACGGGUAGCCGGCCUGAGAGGGUGACCGGCCACAUUGGGCCUGAGAUACGGCCCAGACUCCUACGGGAGGCAGCAGUGGGGAAUAUUGCACAAUGGGCGGAAGCCUGAUGCAGCAACGCCGCGUGCGGGAUGACGGCCUUCGGGUUGUAAACCGCUUUCGCCUGUGACGAAGCGUGAGUGACGGUAAUGGGUAAAGAAGCACCGGCUAACUACGUG